ACUCGAAGAGUAGGGCGGGACACGUGGUAUCCUGUCUGAAUAUGGGGGGACCAUCCUCCAAGGCUAAAUACUCCUGACUGACCGAUAGUGAACCAGUACCGUGAGGGAAAGGCGAAAAGAACCCCGGCGAGGGGAGUGAAAAAGAACCUGAAACCGUGUACGUACAAGCAGUGGGAGCCUCUUUAUGGGGUGACUGCGUACCUUUUGUAUAAUGGGUCAGCGACUUAUAUUCUGUAGCAAGGUUAACCGUAUAGGGGAGCCGAAGGGAAACCGAGUCUUAACUGGGCGUUAAGUUGCAGGGUAUAGACCCGAAACCCGGUGAUCUAGCCAUGGGCAGGUUGAAGGUUGGGUAACACUAACUGGAGGACCGAACCGACUAAUGUUGAAAAAUUAGCGGAUGACCUGUGGCUGGGGGUGAAAGGCCAAUCAAACCGGGAGAUAGCUGGUUCUCCCCGAAAGCUAUUUAGGUAGCGCCUCGUGAACUCAUCUUCGGGGGUAGAGCACUGUUUCGGCUAGGGGGCCAUCCCGGCUUACCAACCCGAUGCAAACUACGAAUACCGAAGAAUGUUAUCACGGGAGACACACGGCGGGUGCUAACGUCCGUCGUGAAGAGGGAAACAACCCAGACCGCCAGCUAAGGUCCCAAAGUCAUGGUUAAGUGGGAAACGAUGUGGGAAGGCACAGACAGCCAGGAUGUUGGCUUAGAAGCAGCCAUCAUUUAAAGAAAGCGUAAUAGCUCACUGGUCGAGUCGGCCUGCGCGGAAGAUGUAACGGGGCUAAACCAUGCACCGAAGCUGCGGCAGCGACACUAUGUGUUGUUGGGUAGGGGAGCGUUCUGUAAGCCGUUGAAGGUGUGCUGUGAGGCAUGCUGGAGGUAUCAGAAGUGCGAAUGCUGACAUAAGUAACGAUAAAGCGGGUGAAAAGCCCGCUCGCCGGAAGACCAAGGGUUCCUGUCCAACGUUAAUCGGGGCAGGGUGAGUCGACCCCUAAGGCGAGGCCGAAAGGCGUAGUCGAUGGGAAACAGGUUAAUAUUCCUGUACUUGGUGUUACUGCGAAGGGGGGACGGAGAAGGCUAUGUCAGCCGGGCGACGGUUGUCCCGGUUUAAGCAUGUAGGCGGAGGUUCCAGGUAAAUCCGGUACCUUAUUAACGCUGAGGUGUGAUGACGAGGCACUACGGUGCUGAAGUGAUAAAUGCCCUGCUUCCAGGAAAAGCCUCUAAGCAUCAGGUAACACGAAAUCGUACCCCAAACCGACACAGGUGGUCAGGUAGAGAAUACCAAGGCGCUUGAGAGAACUCGGGUGAAGGAACUAGGCAAAAUGGUGCCGUAACUUCGGGAGAAGGCACGCUGAUAUGUAGGUGAAGCCCCUGCGGGCGGAGCUGAAAUCAGUCGAAGAUACCAGCUGGCUGCAACUGUUUAUUAAAAACACAGCACUGUGCAAACACGAAAGUGGACGUAUACGGUGUGACGCCUGCCCGGUGCCGGAAGGUUAAUUGAUGGGGUUAGCGGCAACGCGAAGCUCUUGAUCGAAGCCCCGGUAAACGGCGGCCGUAACUAUAACGGUCCUAAGGUAGCGAAAUUCCUUGUCGGGUAAGUUCCGACCUGCACGAAUGGCGUAAUGAUGGCCAGGCUGUCUCCACCCGAGACUCAGUGAAAUUGAACUCGCUGUGAAGAUGCAGUGUACCCGCGGCAAGACGGAAAGACCCCGUGAACCUUUACUAUAGCUUGACACUGAACACUGGUCCUUGAUGUGUAGGAUAGGUGGGAGGCUUUGAAGCGUGGACGCCAGUCUGCGUGGAGCCGUCCUUGAAAUACCACCCUUUAAUGGCUGGUGUUCUAACGUAGACCCGUGAUCCGGGUUGCGGACAGUGUCUGGUGGGUAGUUUGACUGGGGCGGUCUCCUCCCAAAGAGUAACGGAGGAGCACGAAGGUUGGCUAAUCCUGGUCGGACAUCAGGAGGUUAGUGCAAUGGCAUAAGCCAGCUUGACUGCGAGCGUGACGGCGCGAGCAGGUGCGAAAGCAGGUCAUAGUGAUCCGGUGGUUCUGAAUGGAAGGGCCAUCGCUCAACGGAUAAAAGGUACUCCGGGGAUAACAGGCUGAUACCGCCCAAGAGUUCAUAUCGACGGCGGUGUUUGGCACCUCGAUGUCGGCUCAUCACAUCCUGGGGCUGAAGUAGGUCCCAAGGGUAUGGCUGUUCGCCAUUUAAAGUGGUACGCGAGCUGGGUUUAGAACGUCGUGAGACAGUUCGGUCCCUAUCUGCCGUGGGCGCUGGAGAAUUGAGGGGGGCUGCUCCUAGUACGAGAGGACCGGAGUGGACGCAUCACUGGUGUUCGGGUUGUCAUGCCAAUGGCACUGCCCGGUAGCUAAAUGCGGAAGAGAUAAGUGCUGAAAGCAUCUAAGCACGAAACUUGCCCCGAGAUGAGUUCU
This 2426-nucleotide ribosomal RNA is filed under the name Enterobacter cloacae. RNAcentral's name for it is "bacterial LSU rRNA". It matches the Rfam family "Bacterial large subunit ribosomal RNA", at positions 403 to 2812 of the family's 2925-position model. The record is from RNAcentral. Lineage: Bacteria; Pseudomonadati; Pseudomonadota; Gammaproteobacteria; Enterobacterales; Enterobacteriaceae.